UUGACAGAAGAGAGUGAGCACACAGAGGUAUUUGUAUAAAGCUUAUACUAAUGCUUUUGCGUGCUCACUCCUCUUUCCGUCAG
Non-coding RNA from Gossypium raimondii (Peruvian cotton), 83 nucleotides. The record is from Rfam. NCBI's taxonomy places the organism in Eukaryota, Viridiplantae, Streptophyta, Magnoliopsida, Malvales, Malvaceae.